This 78-nucleotide small RNA is filed under the name Flavobacterium succinicans. Its description in RNAcentral is "Flavo-1 RNA". It matches the Rfam family "Flavo-1 RNA". Lineage: Bacteria; Pseudomonadati; Bacteroidota; Flavobacteriia; Flavobacteriales; Flavobacteriaceae. The record is from Rfam by way of RNAcentral.
CGCUAGCCCCGAUUGCAGCGAAAAUCCUUUUGUGCCGGGGUUCGGCACAAAAGAUUGUAGCGGAAAGUGGGAACCUUG